RNAcentral lists this ribosomal RNA (445 nucleotides) under uncultured bacterium. RNAcentral describes it as "partial 16S ribosomal RNA". It matches the Rfam family "Bacterial small subunit ribosomal RNA", at positions 354 to 796 of the family's 1533-position model. The record is from RNAcentral.
GUGAGGAAUAUUGCGCAAUGGAGGCAACUCUGACGCAGCCAUGCCGCGUGCAGGAAGAAGGCGCUACGCGUUGUAAACUGCUUUUAACCGGGAAGAAACCCCAGGACGUGUCCUGGGUUGACGGUACCGGAGGAAUAAGCACCGGCUAACUUCGUGCCAGCAGCCGCGGUAAUACGAAGGGUGCAAGCGUUAUCCGGAUCAAUUGGGUUUAAAGGGUGCGUAGGCGGAGCGUUAAGUCAGUGGUGAAAUCCUGCAGCUUAACUGUAGACUUGCCAUUGAUACUGGCGCUCUUGAGUGCGCUUGAAGUGGGCGGAAUGUGCCGUGUAGCGGUGAAAUGCUUAGAUAUGGCACAGAACACCAAUUGCGAAGGCAGCUCACUAAGGCGAUACUGACGCUGAGGCACGAAAGCGUGGGGAUCGAACAGGAUUAGAUACCCGAGUAGUCC